This 459-nucleotide ribosomal RNA is filed under the name uncultured bacterium. RNAcentral describes it as "partial 16S ribosomal RNA". It matches the Rfam family "Bacterial small subunit ribosomal RNA", at positions 338 to 795 of the family's 1533-position model. The record is from RNAcentral.
CCUACGUGAGGCAGCAGUGAGGAAUAUUGGUCAAUGGCCGAGAGGCUGAACCAGCCAAGUCGCGUGAGGGAAGACGGCCCUACGGGUUGUAAACCUCUUUUGUCGGGGAGCAAAGCGAGUCACGUGUGACUCAUUGAGAGUAUCCGAAGAAAAAGCAUCGGCUAACUCCGUGCCAGCAGCCGCGGUAAUACGGAGGAUGCGAGCGUUAUCCGGAUUUAUUGGGUUUAAAGGGUGCGCAGGCGGAGGUGCAAGUCAGCGGUCAAAUUGCGGGGCUCAACCCCGUACUGCCGUUGAAACUGCAUGCCUAGAGAGCACGUGAGGUAUGCGGAAUGCGUGGUGUAGCGGUGAAAUGCAUAGAUAUCACACAGAACUCCGAUUGCGAAGGCAGCAUACCGGCGCACAACUGACGCUGAUGCACGAAAGCGUGGGUAGCGAACAGGAUUAGAUACCCUUGUAGUC